RNAcentral lists this ribosomal RNA (269 nucleotides) under uncultured bacterium. RNAcentral's name for it is "partial 16S ribosomal RNA". It matches the Rfam family "Bacterial small subunit ribosomal RNA", at positions 524 to 794 of the family's 1533-position model. The record is from RNAcentral.
GACAGAGGUUGCAAACGUUGUUCGGAAUCACUGGGCAUAAAGCGCACGUAGGCGGCUGACUAAGUCAGAUGUGAAAUCCCUCGGCUCAACCGGGGAACUGCGUCUGAUACUGGUCGGCUUGAGAACGGUAGGGGUGAGCGGAACUCCAGGUGGAGCGGUGAAAUGCGUUGAUAUCAUCAGGAACACCAGUGGCGAAGGCGACCCACUGGGUCAUUCUGACGCUGAGGUACGAAAGCUAGGGUAGCGAACGGGAUUAGAAACCCUGUAGU